This 433-nucleotide ribosomal RNA is filed under the name uncultured bacterium. Its description in RNAcentral is "partial 16S ribosomal RNA". It matches the Rfam family "Bacterial small subunit ribosomal RNA", at positions 29 to 507 of the family's 1533-position model. The record is from RNAcentral.
AACGAACGCUGGCGGCAUGCCUAACACAUGCAAGUCGAACGACACCUUCGGGUCUAGUGGCGCACGCGUGCGUAACGCGCGGGAACCUGCCCUUAGGUUCGGCAUACCUCCCCGAAAGGGGUGCUAAUACCGGACAAUGUCUUCGCCCCAAAGUUUGAUCGCCCUUGUAUGGGCCCGCUUUGGAUUAGCUUGUUGGUAGGGUAAAAGCCUACCAACGCGACGUUCCAUAGCUGGUCUGAGAGCAUGAUCAGCCACACUGGAACUGGGACGCGGCCCAGACUCCUACGGGAGGCAGGAAUGGGUGAUAGAGGAAAGUGGGGGGAAUGAUGAACGAGCAAUGCCGGGUGAGUGAUGAGAGCAGUAGAGUUGUAAAGCGCUUUUAACCGGGAUCAUAAUGACGGUACCGGAAGAAUAAGCUCCGGCUAACUACGUG